Molecule: non-coding RNA, 73 nt
Organism: Thamnocephalis sphaerospora
Lineage: Eukaryota; Fungi; Zoopagomycota; Zoopagomycetes; Zoopagales; Sigmoideomycetaceae
Source: the annotation of a GenBank genome assembly
GGACCUGUGGCCUAAUGGAUAAGGUGUUCGACUUCGGAUCGAAAGAUUCCAGGUUCGAGUCCUGGCAGGUUCG